RNAcentral lists this ribosomal RNA (254 nucleotides) under uncultured bacterium. Its description in RNAcentral is "partial 16S ribosomal RNA". It matches the Rfam family "Bacterial small subunit ribosomal RNA", at positions 79 to 334 of the family's 1533-position model. The record is from RNAcentral.
CUUUCUUUGCUGGCGACCGGCGCACGGGUGAGUAACACGUAUCCAACCUGCCCUUUACUCGGGGAUAGCCUUUCGAAAGAAAGAUUAAUACCCGAUGGCAUAGUGAUUCCGCAUGGUUUCAUUAUUAAAGGAUUCCGGUAAAGGAUGGGGAUGCGUUCCAUUAGGUUGUUGGUGAGGUAACGGCCCACCAAGCCUUCGAUGGAUAGGGGUUCUGAGAGGAAGGUCCCCCACAUUGGAACUGAGACACGGUCCAA